UGCGGAAUUUUAGAUAAUGGAGGGAACUCUGAUCUAGCGACGCCGCGUGCAGGAAGAAGGUCUUCGGAUUGUAAACUGCUGUGGUAAGGGAAAAAUGCUAUGUAGAGUGGAAAGCUACAUAGAGGGAUGGUACCUAACUAGAAAGCCCCGGCUAACUACGUGCCAGCAGCCGCGGUAAUACGUAGGGGGCGAGCGUUACCCGGAAUCACUGGGCGUAAAGGGAGCGUAGGUGGCCUAACAUGUCAACUGUGAAAACCCGGAGCUCAACUCCGGACUUGCAGUUGAAACUGGUAGGCUUGAGGACGGUAGAGGAAGACGGAACUGCCAGUGUAGUGGUAAAAUCCUUAGAGAUUGGCAGGAACGCCGGUGACGAAGGUGGUUUCCUGGGCCGGUUCUGACACUGAUGCUCGAAAGCCAGGGGAG
This 423-nucleotide ribosomal RNA is filed under the name uncultured bacterium. RNAcentral describes it as "bacterial SSU rRNA". It matches the Rfam family "Bacterial small subunit ribosomal RNA", at positions 355 to 768 of the family's 1533-position model. The record is from RNAcentral.